RNAcentral lists this long non-coding RNA (10021 nucleotides) under Eucalyptus grandis. RNAcentral's name for it is "long non-coding RNA (EGRA_LNC006699)". Lineage: Eukaryota; Viridiplantae; Streptophyta; Magnoliopsida; Myrtales; Myrtaceae. The record is from RNAcentral.
GAAAAAAAAAAAGUAAAAAUAGCACAGGUACAAGUGUUGAGCUCGGCGUUUUGAAGAUUUGAUUGUUCAACUCGUUUGGGCACUGAUUUGAAAGUCUUUUCUGACUAAUUUUGCGUUGUCGUUGGAUCUGUUCGUAUAUGUGGCUUUCAGCAGUUGAACAUAUUUUGAGUUGACCACUUUGUUACAGAAGCUGUUAGGGAACCAGAGAAAACAUCUGAUGGGUGACGCAUGAGAAAACAUCUGAUGGGUGACGCAUUGCCAUCCUAUUUGAAUUUUUGUGGUGAUAGGAUUAUGGUUACUGUUUCCUUCUUAUAGUCGCAUUCUCUAUACUUUUGAUUCAAAUAUUGCUUAUUUUUGUGAUGCUUUUAUGCACGAUAUUCAUGAAGUUUCUAUCAAGUUUGGAAGAAUGAUUUGUUAUUUGUGUGGGAUUAUUGGUCUCAAACUACAUGCUUGAUCCCUACAACUAGAAGAGGCCGUGUCGUCAAUCCUGAACUUGAGAUGGAAACCAAAAGAAAAAAAAAAAUCAGAAACUAAUAGUUAUAAACCUCUAUGAUAUCACCACAACAGAAUCCUCUUAUGUCCUCGCACCUGAAAUAUCACUAGAGAUUAUGCUUUUAAAACUCAAAUGCUCAGGAUGCUAGCGCCAUAAAGCCAUCAAACAAUUGACUAGAAUCAACCAACGUAUACUGGGAUCCAUCAUAGUAUUGCCAUGACUUUAAUACCGAUUUUUUUUGCUCAGAAUCCUAUAAAUAUCACAAUCUGAAAGUGCAACCUCAAAGCUGUGAAACGAAUCAUCAACUCAGUAAGUUUUCAUUUCUGGCAACAUUCAAUUAUGAACUGAAUCAGAUAUAAAGUCUUAACAUUUCCAAAUAUGCAAAAUAAACAAACGAGUAUGGACAAGCAGCAUCAAAAUCAUUUGCUAAACUUUUGGCAAAUAGUGAACAAAUUAAUAUUAAUCUUUAGUCUAGGGAAUACUGAUGGUAAAUUUCAAGAAAAUCAUAACUGGCAAUUGCAUUGCUACAUAGAUCCAAACAAAAUACCGACACCUAACCUGAUUGGUUGUGUUUUCAGAUCGAAGUACUCCUAGUAGCCCAUUGUAGAACUUGUCAAGCCAAAUAUGCUGUAAGAUGAGCAGUUGCACAUACAAAUAGAUGCCCUACCUUGGAUUGGGGUACAAACUACAAAGUAUCCCAGUCUGAGAAAACUAUCUAAAAUUUGUCAACAUAAAAUACUCAGCUCUGAGGCUGACUCGGUGGUAACAUUCAGAUUUGCAUUCCAGAAUGGAACACUGGGUGGCAUAGUGCUAGCGUGGGUAAUUCUCGAUGAUUAGAAGGUAAUUCAUAUUGGAUUGUCUGAGAAGCAUACUCAUGUUGUUUGACUUUGUUUAAGGUAAUAUUUUGCAUCACAUGACGUUUGAAGGCAUUGUUAAUCGUCCUUGGUCUUCCAAACUCGUGAUGCUAAAAGAUUGUUGCGUAAUUGUAGUUCAAGGACAAUGUGUCUUUGAUUUUAUAGUGUUAUGUUUGCUCUUGUACGGUCCAGGUUUAUAAUUAUCAGUAUCUGGAUUUCAGUUAGUUCACAUCACUGGUCUGGGUCCUUGCAGAUCUUCUAUAAAGUAUCGAAUGCUCUCAGAGAGUAUGUGAAACAGACAAUUUCUUGUUGCUAGAAAGGAAAAGUCCAAAUAAAGCUGUAAGAAAUAAGUCGAGGUUGAUAUGAGCCACUUUCCUGUCUGUUGCCCUGAGAGAUGGAAUCAUAUUUUAAAUGCUAUAGGAAUUACGCUUUCAGGUGCGCUUCUAUUUGUAUAAGGAGCAAACGUAAUCUGGUAAUCAGGGUAAUUAGGACAUUGUUGCUUUUCAUGUCCCUCUUUCUUACUUUAUUUUUCCCUUAAAAUUUUCACUGCCCCUUGAUUGCAUCUCUUAUGCGUUAAACAUUUGCCGCCCUCGAUAUUCUUCCUUUCCAGGUUCUAAAUAUAAAUAUGACUGUGCCCUCACUAUGUGCAUUUUUUUUUUCCUAUUUCUUUAGGUCUUAAAGGACACCUAAUGUUGGGAGCAACUAUUAGGUCCAGUCCAUCAGUGUUGGAGAUAAUUAGGCAAAUAUCUUAUCCUAGAUAUUUUUGCCUCGGUGUCAAAUAGGGACCAUCCAAGGUACAUCAGUGAACCGUACCUUGCGUCUUGGCUCGGCUGUGGAUAUGUUUAUUCUGCCAUGAAAGUGCUGAGAAAGAAAAGAGCAACGGUUCUUCGGUCGGUGUAUAGUACAUUGAUUUACCAUCGUAAAUGCGAUGGUUUAAGAUUAUGGAAAGAGAAUACCAUUUGAAUUCAGGUAGAUACAUUAAACGUCAACAUAUGAUUACCUCCUGUUAUUUUAUUUUUCUUGCCCCUGAAUUAUUUUUGCUCUCCUUGAUAUGUUCGGGGUCAGAAGCCUCCGAUUCAAGAGAUCACCACUUCUGCAAUACCCAUAGUACCAAGAAAUGAAAUAGAAAAGGCUAUACAUCUUAUUGAUCCGUGAGGACAUAUGGUCUUGCUCUGUUGGAAAAAUCAACAACAAAUGGAGAACUAGUCUUGAACCCAACUGGAAAAGAAACCCAUGAGAUUAAUUCAUCAAUGGACAAAGCUAACUAGAAAGAAUAACUCCCAGAAUUUUCACCAAGCAUUUCAUUUUCCCCAAAAAUGACAGCAAUAAAUUUUCCUAGAAAGGGCAUUAGAAGUGUCAUUCUGCAGAGGUACAAAAUCAUGCGAUAGUUUAAGAGUUUCCGAUAGUUUCUAAAGCCAAUGCUUCCAUUUUAGUGCGCUUCACGUUUAUUUCCCUCCAAUCACAGUUUCUGCAUCUACUCUGCUCAGAUCAAAAGGAACUACAUAGAACAGCGAGAGUUUAAUUUAUUAAAUUCCAGAAUUAUAUGGACAUUGUGUUCAUUUAACGCAUGUGUUGACAGCGCUGUUACACUGUUCUUUUUCUCUCCAGCCCAGCCAUUCAAAACCCCUGGCGUUUUCCCCCGUCACUUGCUUCCUCAUGUGACAUUCUCUUCAGCUUAACAGAACCGUAGCUCUCUGGAACAUCGAAAACAAGGGACCUGAUAAGCAUCCAUGCUUUUCCGAGUCUUUGGUCAAGGUUUUUAGGCGUCAAAAGCCAUAACCAUCGCUUUUGAGCUCAAGAUAAGCAAUAUCAAUUCAGCCGACAAUUUGAGAAAAAUUUUACCAAGCAGAAGAUAAACCCCAGCUCGGUAGCAUCUGUCAAGUAUUAAUCAUACCAGCUCACCAGCACUAUGACCGAAAAAAGCGAUGGAGAAAUCACACUGGUAUGCUUGAGAUUUUAUAUCAAAGUCAAGGUAGCCCGUCCUCAAUUCACAUGGGAAACAAUUAAUAGAAAAGGAAUACACAGAGAUUUAUUCAUUCGGAAUAUAUUUUGAUUGCUGGAAGUAAUGUUAUUAGGAAAAUGCAAUUGAUUCAAUUGGCUGGUGCCUAUUAUGAGAAGAUAAACUGCUCUGAAGAUAAACUUGGUAAACAAUGAAUAAAAAAGGAAUACAGAGAUUUAUCUAUAAGGAAUAUGCUAGAACAGGAAUGUCUUUGGGACAAUGCAAUUGAUUCGAUCGGCUUGUGCCCAUCGUGAGAAGAUAAACUGCUUUGAGUAAGUUCUGUCUCAGCAAAAACUACGCAGAAGCUGUCAUCUUACAAGGUUCCAAAAGCUUUCAAUUGAAUAUCGAGUCAUUAUCGGCCUCCAUGAUUAUGUGGUAUACUAACAAUUCUACUCGCGCAAAUUGUAAUAGAAUGUAUUAGUGUCAAAGCAUAAUUUUUUCCCUAGGUCUGGUAGUGGAUAUUAAACUUCGGCAAAUUGUUUACAUACUUGUAAUUCGGCUUAACAAUCCUUUUAUCUUUGGUAUACAUGAACUAACUUAAUUCGAGAGCAGAGAAAGGGCAAAAAACUUAUCUUUGACUAAAAGUUAGGGAUAUUUAAAUUCUUUGAAUAUGCCAAUUUACCCCCACAAGAACAAGUACCUAAAUACCCUUAUGUUUUCACGGAUAAAUAAGGUAUGACAAAUGGUUUUGGUGCCUAAAAAUUGAAACUUAUAAUACUUCGGACAAAAGAGUUGACAUUAGUGGGUUAAAAUUUACACUAUAAAACUAUAAAAUCCUUCUUUUCAUGAUAAAUAAUUGCAUGGGGAAAAAGAGAGGGAUAUGGGGCAAAUUUGUACAAGGAUUAUCGAGAUUAGUUUCAAGAUGGGCCGGUUCCCACUAAAAUCAUUAACUGGACCAAAAGGAUUGGUGCUUAAUUUGUGGAACCAAGAAUCGCCCAGCUAAUCCUGUACCCAUCUAGGAAUUAGACCAAUCAGUCCAAUCCAAUUCCCCGGUGGGUUUAAGAACAGACGGUGCUCUCUCCCUAUUUUUUUAUCAUAUUCCCUACAAGACCACAAGUGUUAUUAUAUGAUCGAAACUACUACAUGAGUGAUGUUAAUAGAACAAGCCUGUGAUAAGUUAAACAUAAUGAUCAUUUCCAUGAACAAAGAUAUAAUGAUCAUCAAGAACUAUAUAUGUGAGAUUGCCACAAAGUUUUACAAUCUUAACAAUCAUUAUAAGAAUUUGCCAUAAAGUCCUCAAGCUUCACCUCAAGUUAGUAAUAGGCCAAUUAGGGUUUUUAAUGUAGAGACUGAAGAGUAGAGAGACUAAAGAUGUAGAAUGGGGAACUAGUAAUUAGGGUUUUUAGUUUUGUAAUAAUAAGAAUUAGAAAAUCAGUUCGCUCUGGGUGGUCCGAGCGAGUGGGUCCACCCUAGAUCAGAGAACAAAAUCAUUAUUCACCAGUUCUAAAUUUUAGGAAUUGGGAACUUGAUUGGUAACCGUGGAAAUAGCCUAGAACUAGUUGGUUCGGUUUAGUCUGGUCUGGAUGGUUCUCGAUUUGUUUUGUUUAUUUUGCUCACUCCUAAGACGAUGAUAUUUUUAUUUGACUCAAUUACCGGAGAAAAGGGUGCCAUUGUUACAUAUACUAUCCAUGUGUAACUUGCGAGACUUCAAAUUUACCGACCAACCCUACCAAUUACACGUGAUGCGUCAUCACAUACCUUUGAGUUGUUAACCAUUCGAAAUUAUAUCACCAAAUUCUGGUGUUUAAGAAGUUAAUAUUCUCAAUUUACUAAAGAGAUUCAAUCAAAUAGCCUGACUCGACUUUUCUCUCUACCGCAAUGGUAGCUCUCUCUCUACGCUAUGUAGAGCGCUUCUACCGAAAUGGUAGUUUCUUCUUCUUCAACACCUUCUACCUGGUUUUCUUUUACUGAGCGUUGCGGAGUUGCUACUUCCAGCUGUAAAUUUCCCAAUUCCUUCUGACCCACUCCAUCCUUUCAUUCUCUGUUCCAUCGGCCUUUACCCACAUCCUCUUCCUUUUGCAUGUCAUCAUCGGCCUCACAACUUUGCUGAAUUCACUCGAUUUCACUUGUGUCGCUUUCUCUGGUUGAUACCUUCUACUUGGUUCGGGUUUUCGGCAUCCUCUGUUACCGGGUCUUCUGCUGAGAUUUCUUCUCAUUGUUAGUCUUCGUUUCUUUGAAAUGGACCACCUCACUGCCGCAGAUGACGCUCGUCUGGCAGCUUUAUGCAAUCACAUGGGUCGGUUAUGGUCCGAACAGCCAAUUGAGAUAUGGGACGAGGAGGUGCCUAGCGACAAAAUUGAGGAAUGUCAGCUAACUCUGAUGGGUAAUCUUCUAAAUAACCCCUCAGUUAAUUUUCAGGCUUUUCAGACUACUAUGAAAAAGGCUUGGCGCACCGAGUUAGUGGAAUUCUCACAAGGCGACUCUGGACUGUUCAUUAUCAAGUUUAAAUCUUAUGACGUCAAACAGAGAGUUAUAGAAAACGGACCAUGGUUGUUUGGCAAUCAUCUUCUUAUCUUGAAACCUUGGAUAGCUAACACACCGCUGUCUUGCUAUGACUUUAGUACUUGUGCGUUCUGGGUCCACAUAGUUGGCUUGCCUUUGGAGCGCUGCACAGAGAAUAUAAUUCAUCGAGCUGCCGGUCAUAUUGGAAAGGUCACUGAAGUAAACAUAACAAGUAAAGAUGGAUUACCGCUUAGAGCAAUGAGGGCAAGAGUGGAAUUGGACCUUAAACGACCGCUGAAAACAGGGCUUCUCCUUAAGGUUGAAGGCAAGAAUUUCUAGUUGGACUUUAGAUAUGAACGUUUAUCUCACUACUAUUAUUCCUGUGGCAUACUGGGACACUAUGCCACUGCCUGUAAAACUUUUCCCUGUGAUGAAAAUAAAUUAGAUGAAAUCAGUUUUCUAUAUGGAUCUUGGUUAAAAGCAGAGGCACGGGAAUACAGCCCUUUCUGGUGUACCUUUUAUGAUACAGAGAUUAUCCCUGAGACCCCUCAAACUUCUUCAGCAAUUAUUUCUGUGCCGGACUCUGUUCAUGCUGUACCUGAUACUUCAGUGCAAAAAUCUGUUCAUGGUGUACCUGACAUUUCAGUACAAAAAAAUAAGGGUAAACACACUAUGGAAACCUCAGUUAGAGAUCCUAUUAUCACAACAACAAACCAAGCUACUCAGGAUCUUCAUACCCUUGAUCAGCAACUCAUAUUGGCAAACCCCCCUGUUGCUAGUUCUUCUCAGUUGAAAAAGAAGCUUAAACACUCACAUCUUAAUGCACGAUUCGGACCUCUUAAGAAGGUAAAAUGAGCUCUGCAUCAUGAAGUUCGACAUCACUUAUAGGAGCAGUUUGAUGAAUCCGCUUUACAAGACACUCCUAUCACUGAGGCAGACACGUCUGCAUGUUGGGCCCUAGUGGCUGGCCCUAAAAAGCCACCAGGUGAACAAUGAGACUUAUAAGUUGGAACUGUCAGGGGUUGGGCAAUCCCCCGACUGUUCAAGCGCUUAGGGUCUUAGCGACCCAAGAGAAGCUCGAUAUUGUUUUUUUGAUGGAAACAAAAAACCAGACUCAGCAGCUUUUGUCUAUUCAACGAAAACUUAAUUUCUCAGCAGGUUAUAUACAAGAUCCAGCAGGAUUGACAGGAGGUUUAGCCCUUUUUUGGACUAACAAGAUUUCUUUGAAAGUUACUUACCAGUCAUCUGAUAUGCUAGACUCCAUUUGUACUUACCUGGAUUCUGGCAUUACCAUGCGUCUUACUUGCUUACAUGCUCCUGCUCGCUAUCCUCUCCGAUAACACCUGUGGACAGUUUUAAGAUGAAUCAGUAAUUUUAACUCCCUUCCUUGGUUAUGCACAGGGGAUUACAAUGAAGUAUUAUAUCCAUGGGAGAAAGUAGGGAAGUGUCAUGUCGAGUCUCACAGAAUGAUUUCUUUUCGCGAUCUAAUUAAUGACUGUUAUCUUAUGGACCUCGGCAGCAAAGGAUGUGCCUUUACAUGGACUAACAACAGACAGGGUGAUGAUAUGGUAAAGGAAAGAUUAGACAGAAUGCUUUGCACAAAGGAUUGGAGAUUGGCUUACCCUCUUGCCGAAGUACUCGCCCUUCCAGCCCUCGGCUCUGAUCACAACCCCCUUCUCUUGUCUACUGAAGCACUUCCUAGCUGUAAAAGGCGGAAAUCUUUCUAUUUUGAAGCUUUUUGGCUCAGGAUAUCAAGUGCUGUUCAAUUAUUGCUGCAUCCUGGACCUCUUCUCAGCUUGGAGAGGUGAUACUUCCUCAAAAACUACUCUCUGUUUCUAUUGCAUUAUCCAAAUGGAGUCGUUCCAAAUUUAGGAAUGCACAAACUCAACUUUAUCAUCUCAAGAAUCAGCUUCAGUCUCUCACCAAUCAAACACAUUUUCACUCAAAUACUGAUGUGAUAUCAGACCUGAAAGCAAAAAUACAUAACUUAUGGCAGCAGAAGGAAAAAUUUUGGGCAAUGCGAUCCCUGGUUAAUUGGCUUAAAUGGGGGGACAGGAACACCAAAUUCUUUCAUGCCACUACGGUUCAACGAUGACAACAAAACAAGAUCAGAAUGCUUCAGGAUGAUUAGCAAAACUGGAUUCGAGACCCUUCUGCUCUUAAAGAGAUGACUUUCAAUUAUUUUCAGCAGUUAUAUUCAUCUAUAGGGUAUAGAGACUAUGGCCCAACAUUAAAUCUUUGUAAUCAGAUUGUGACAGAGGAGAUGAAUGAACAUCUAACAGCUACAGUUACCUAUGAGGAGGUCCAUACUGCAGUAUUCCAAUUAGGAGAAACAAAAGCUCCCAAUCCAGAUGGCUUGAAUGGCUAGUUUUAUCGAGCCCAUUGGGAUAUCCUGCAAGAUGACAUAACAUUAGCCGUGCAACAAUUCUUUCAUACAGGGAUCUUAUUACCGGAGUAUAACCGCACUGCUAUUUCCCUAAUUCCUAAGAUUCCUCACCUAGAACAUUUAGAUCAAUUUCGUCCUAUUAGCCUCUGCAAUUUUAUUUAUAAGAUUAUUUCCAAGAUUCUUGCAAACCGUCUUAAACCCUGGCUGCCACAGUUGAUAGCACCAGAACAAACUGCUUUUGUUGGCGAUCACCAAAUCCAAGAUAAUAUAAUUGUGGUUCAUGAAGUCUUACAUCAGAUCAGAAUAAGAAAACGCAAAAAGAACUUUCAUGCAAUGCUGAAACUAGACAUGCAGAAGGCUUAUGACCGGGUUGAAUGGGAUUUUCUCCGAGAUUAUCUCCUAAAGCUUGGUUUUCAUACCAAAUGGGUCCACUGGAUAUUCCAAUGUAUUUCUACAGUGUCUUAUAGUGUCAAAUUAAAUGGAGAAUUUCCACCGUUCUUCCAUCCUACCAGAGGUCUUAGACAAGGCGACCCGUUAUCACCGUACCUGUUCAUCCUGAUGGCUAAUGCUUUAACAACUCUUAUCAAUAACGCAGUGGACAAUGGCAAUCUUAAAGGUAUUAAACUUAAUCGAUGGUGUCCCACUCUCUCUCACUUAUUUUUCACUUAUGAUGCCAUUUUUUUCCUUGAUGCGAAACUUAUGGAAUGUCAGAACUUAGCUGAUGUCCUUAAUGAAUACUGCCUAGCUACAGGACAAGCAAUUAAUCGAAACAAAUCAGGGUUAUUUUGUAGCACAGACUGUCCUAUUGCCUUGAAAGAAAGUCUAGCCGGAGCACUUAGAGUUCCUAUAUUACAUCAAACAGGCAGAUAUCUAGGCAUACCUUCAGAUUGGGGCAAAUCUAAACGGGAAAUGUUUUCUUGGCUUAUGGGUCGAGUGCAUUCAAAACUCAAAGGUUGGAAAGAAAAACUCAUUUCAAAAGGAGGCAAGGAGGUCCUUAUUAAAACUGUUGUGCAAGCUAUACCCCACUACGCCAUGUCGAUUUUCAAAAUCCCUGCUGCUAUUUGUAAAGCAAUAGAACAAAAACUAGCUAAAUUCUAGUGGCAGUCAGAUUACAGCAAGAAAGGCAUGUUGACACCUAAAUUUUUCCAUUUUCAUUUAGGAUUUAAUUGUGUACGGAAUUAGGAAUUAGUCAUUUAAAAAAAAAACAAACAACAAAAAACAAAAAAAAAACACAACAACAAAAUAAACAGAAAAUAGGAAAAAAAAACGCCUAGGGGUCGGGUCAAGCCAAAUCUGGCUUUGGCCCGGCCCAUCGCCCACCUCUCUUUCCCCUGAGUGGCCCACGCCAUCUCCUUUUGGUCCAGCCCACAUCCCCACUUGUCUUCUUCCUGGUGUCUUCGUGUGCGGAGCCUGCACCAAAAGAAAAAGGAAAAGCAACAAUGUCAGAGAAAAAGGGAAAAAGAAGAAAGCGACAACAGAGGAGGAGGGAGAUCGGCAGAGAGAGGGAGGGGAGCUCGAGACCGAGAGAAGCCGAACGGCCGCCUCGCCGUGCUUGCGCCUCCGACCCGGCGUCCCUUACUGCACGAGUCGCCGACCACCGCUGCUCGGCCCUUCGCAACACCAGCAACCCGCGAAGCCGACGCCGUCGCUGCUCGAACAAGCCAGAUCUGGGGGAGGAGGGCAGCGGCGGCGCUGCCGUCUGCCGUCCAAGCCGCUGCCCUCUGAACGCCGUCCCCAGCAGCCUGCCUCUGCCCAGUUGCGACGCCGCCGCCGCCGCCACCGUCUCUGCUCGAACCCGCGAGCCCUGCUUCUGCUCUGCCGUGCGCCUCCGCCGGACACGCGUUCGC